CAAUUAUAUGUAAGAUUUAUUGGUCACUUUGUAUCAGACUAAAUAUUUGACAUUUCUUGUAGGUCAUUAGAAUUCUUAUAUAGGAUCUGAGACAGAGUGGUAAUGUGACUUAACCAAGGGCACAUGACUUGUAAGUGUCAUGGCCAGGGUUCAAACCCAGAGUCUACGUUCUAAAUAAUUAUGUCUUAUGUCUUCUAAAUAGUAAAGAGUUGUUCAAAUGUGAUGUAUCAAUAAUCUUUCAACCAAGAAAUUCUUACAGCAAUAAUCAGGAGACUGCAUAGAAAGAUCCUAUCUUGCCUAAGCUCAACUAACAGUUGAACCUGAAACCAAUGCUUCUGCUAUUUUCAGUGGCUGCUUCUAAUUUCCAGAAAAAUCAUGCUGAGUCACCAUAUACGUCCGGGAUUCUGCAUAGCAUGCUUUAUUGACAACUAUUCCUUUGUUGUGAUGUAGCCAAACCAAACCAAAAAAAAAAAAAAAAAAAAAAGGCUGACAUUGAACUUGCAUCUCAAAUCUGAAAAAGCCUCUCUGAAUUCCUAUGUAUCAAUCAUUGUUGGAAAGAAUAAGUACAAAUCAAGGGAAUUAAGUUUAAUCCCCCUAAUAGAUAAAAAGAGCCUCAGCGAGGGUUAGGGAGAAAUCUCUUCUAACAGUGCCCUUAGGAAGCAUAGGGAUUUACUGUUCUGUUUUGCAUUAUUUGUUGAAACAUUUAGAAUAAUCAGCCACUGUCUGAUGAGAGAGUGGACUACAUACGGAAGGCACUUAACUCUUCUAAUAUUAAAGUGCAUAUUCAAUCCCUUAUUGGAUUUUUUUCUUCAAAAAGCACUGUUUUUAAUAAGUAAUUUCUUCACUGUGUGUUGAGAACAAUAAUUUCAAGGUCAUUGAUAUAACUCUGGUGUCUAGGGAAUUUUCAUAAAUUUUUAGCCCUGGCAGAAGGAAAUUAUAAUUUAAGAAGAAUAUUCCAGAGUUCCUGUAGUGGCUCAGCAGUGACGAACCCAACUAGUAUCCAGAAUGAUGCAGGUUCUAUCCCUAGCCUCGCUCAGUGGGUUAAGGAUCCGGCAUUGCCAUGAGCUGUAGGUGUGUGUAGGCCACAGGCUUAGCCUGGAUCCUGCAUUGCUGUGGCUGUGGCGUAGGCAGGCAGCUAUAGCUCCGAUUCUGCUCCUAGCCUGGGAACUUCAUAUGCCACUGGUGCAGCCCUUAAAAGACAAAGAAGAAGAAGGAGAAGAAAGAGAAGAAGAAAAAGAGGAAGAAUCUUCCAAUUUUAGCCAAUCCUGCGUCUGAAAAAUAAAUAAGAUCAAUAUAAAUCGUCUGGAUAACCAACAAGGAAAUGCUUCAUUAUCGCACUCAGUAAGGUUAUGUGAUUUCUUUUUUGUCAUAAUGUCAGAAUUCUUGCCAUAAUCAAUUAAGAUAAAAACACCAAGCUUUAGCAGACCUCAACCAAAGAGUAAAAAGGAAAAAAUGUAACUAUUAAUUGUUAUACCUGCUGCAUCACUUUUUAAAGUGAGCACCUUCUUCUAACUAGACCCAUAAGUGAUCUUAGCAAAGUAAAGGUAUCUUGUUGUCUUCUCUUUAUUUUGAGGUGACAGCUCUCCAAUUUUUCAGUCUCAAGACCCCUCUAUGCACUUACAAAUUAUCAAGGACUCCAAAGAAUUUAGGGUUGCGUUACCACCUAAGAAAAUGAAAGAGCGUUAAAGUUGAGGCAUAUCUCAGAGACACUGCAGGUUCAGUACUGACACAAUAAAGCCAAUCUUGUGAUAAAGCAAGUCACAUGAAUUUUUUGGUUUCUCACUCCACAUAAAAGUUAUAUUUACAGUAUACUGUAGAAGCCUUUUGUCUAAAAAAGUAUACACAUCUUAAUUUUAAAAUGUGUUAUUGGAGUUCCCAUUGUGGCUCAGCAGGUUAAGAACCCGCCUAGUAUCCAUGAGGAUGCAGGUUCACUCCCUGGCCUCAAUCAGUGGAUUAAAGAUCUGGGUGUAGGUUGCAGAUGCAACUCAGAUCUGGCAUUUUGUGGCUGUGGUGAAGGCCAGCAGCUGCAGCUCCAAUUCAACCCCUAGCCUAUGAACUUCCAUAUGCCACAGAUGCAGUCCUAAAACAAACAAACAAACAAACAAACAAAAACCAUUAUUGCUAAAAAAUGCCUUUAUCAUCUAAAGCCUUCAUCAUCUGAGCCUUUAGUGAGUCGUCAUCAUUUUGCUGGUAGAGGAUCUUGCCUCAGCAUUGACGGCUCCUAACCAAUCAGGGCAGUGGUUGCUGAAGUCUGGGGUGGCCGCGGCGAUCUCUUAAAAUAAGACAGCAAUGAAAUUUCCUUUCACAAACAUUUCACUGUAGCAUGCAGUGCUGUUUGAUAGUAUUUUACUCACAGUAGAACUUCUUUCAAAAUUGGAGUCAAUCUUCUCAAUUUCUGCUGCUGCUUCUGUAACAUACUAAAUCUUUUGUUGUUAUCUGAACAACCUUCACAGCACCUUCACCAGGAGUAUAUGCCGUCUCAAGAAACUGCUUUCUUUAUUCAUCCAUGUGAAGCAACUCCUCAUUCAUUCAAGUUUUAUCAUGAGAUUGCAGAAAUUCAGUCACAUCUUCAAGCUCCACUUCUAAUUCCAGUUCUCUUGCUCUUUCUGCUACAUCUGUGAUAACUUCCUCCAAUGAAGUCUUGAACUUCUCAAAGUUAUCCAUGAGGUUGAAAUCAGCUUUUUCCAAACCCUUGUGAAGGUUGAUAUUUUGAUCUCUUCCCAUGAAUCACAAAUGUUCUUAAUGACAUCUAGAAUGGUGAAUCCUUUCCAGAAGACUUCAAUUUAUUUUGCCCAGAUCCAUCAGAGGAAUCACUAUCUAUGGCAGCUCUUGCUGUAUGAAAUGUAUUUCUUAAAAAAUAAGACUUGCAGGUCAAAAUGACUCCUUUACCCAUGGACUGCAGAAUAGAUGCUGUGUUAGCAGGCAUGAAAAUAACAUCAAUCUCUUUGUACAUCAUCAGAGCUCUUGAGUGACCAGGUACAUUGUCAACGAGCAGAAUUAUUUUGAAAGGAAGCUUUUUUCCUGAGGCAAAAGUCUCCACAGUGGGCUUAAAAUAUUCAGUAAACUAUGUGAUCCAACGAUGUGCUGUCAUCCAUGCUUUGUUGUUCCAUUUCUAGAACACAGGCAGAGUAGAUUUAGCAUAAUUUUGAAGGCCCCUAGGAUUUUCAGAAUAGUAAAUGAACAUUGGCUUUAACUUAAAAUCACCAGUUGCAUUAGCCCCUAAGGAGAGAGUCAGCCUAUUCCUUGAAGCUUUGAAGCCAGGCAUUGACUUCUCCUUUCCAGCUAUGAAAACCAAGAUGGCACCUUCUUCCAAUAUAAGGCUGUUUAGUCUACAAUGAAAAUCUGUUGUUCAGCAUAGCCACCUUCAGUAAUUAUCUUAGGUUUUCUGGAUAACUUGCUACAACUUCUGUAUCAGGACUUGCUGCUUCACUUUGCACGUAUAUGUUAUUGACAAGGCUUCUUUUCUUAAACUUCAUGACCCUCUGUUAACUUCAAACUUUUCUUCUGCAGCUUCCUCACUUUUCUCAGCUUUCAUAGAAUUAAAGAGAGUUAGGGUCCUUCUAUGAAUUAGGCUUUGGCUUAUGGAAUGUUGUGGCUGGUUUGAUCUAUCCAGACCACUACAACUUUCUCUAUAUCAGCAUUAAGGCUUUUUUGCUUUCUUACCAUUCGUGUGUUCACUGGAGUAGUACUUUUAAUUUCCUUCAAGGACUUUCUCUUUGCAUUUACAACCUGCCUAACUGUUUGGCACAAGAGGCCCGGCUUUUGUCCCAUCUUGGCUUUCAACAUCCCUUCCUCACUAAGUUUAAUCAUUUUUAGCUUUUGAUUUAAAGUGAGAGGUGUGCAAGUCUUUUCACAUGAAUGGUUAAAGGCCAUUGUAGGGUUAUUAACUGGCCUAACUUCAAUACUAUUAUUAUGACUCAGGGAAUAGGGAGGCCCAAGGAGAGGGGGAGAGACAGGGAAUGGCUGCUCAGUGGAACAGUCAGAACCCACACAACAUUUAUGGAUUAACUUUGCUGUCUAAUGUGUAUGGUUCAUGAAGCUCCAAAACAAUCAACAGUAGUAACACCAAAGUUCACUGAUUGUAGAUCACCUUAACAAAUAUAUUACUAAGGAAAUUUUUUUUUGAAAUAUUGUAAGAGUUACCAAGAUGUGACACAGAAAGGAAGUGAACAAAUGCUGUUGGGAAAAUGGUGCUGAUAGACUUGCCAGAUGCAGGUUUUUGUUUUGUUUCAAUUUGUACAAACAAAACAAAAGCAGUGUUGAAACUGCAAUAAAGCAAGUGCAAUAAGACAAGGUAUGCUUGCAUUAAUUUAUUCUAAAAUAAAUAAUGAGCUCAAUAUAUGUAAAUAUAAACUAUAGAUUUUAUAUAAAUUAACUAUACCUUUUCAAAAAUAAAAUCAACUAGCAAAAACAGAAGGAUUUUGCAAAUAAUAGAUUGUUAUACCUGCUUCUGCAUUCAAUCUAUUAUGACUUUUUUUUUUUUUUUUUUUGUCUUUUUAGGGCCCCACCCAUGGCAUAUGGAGGUUCCCAGGCUAAGGGUCGAAUUAGAGAUGUAGCCAGCAGCCUAUACCAGAGGCACAGCAACACUGGAUCUGUGCCUUGUCUGCGACCUACACCACAGCUCAUGGCAACUCCAGAUCCUUUACCCACUGAGUGAGGCCAGGGAUUGAACCCAAAACCUCACGGUUCCUAGGCGGAUUCGUUUCAACUGCACCACGACUGAAACUCCAUGACAUGUUGUUUUGAUUUAAGUAUGGGAAAAAAAGUCUGGAUAAGCAAUUUGAAUGGGGAAGGGCAUUUUUAAUAGUCUUUUCAGAUAAUUGUGAAUACUCUUUUUGAUACUGCUCCGAGAAUCAGCAAGUCCAAGUUUACUAAAAGUCGGUUGCCAUGUGCAAUCCAAAAGCAUUACCAAUGAAAUUUCUUACUGCAUUACAUUAACAUCCAUUGCAUUUAAAUGGAUUAUCUUGCCAGCGAAUUAUUUUGUAACAGAAAGCAAUGGCCGUUUGAGGGAAAGUGGUUGAGGUAUUUAGAUCUUCCACAUUUCACUGAACAAUACUUUAAAAAUCACAGGUAUUAACAUCAUCACUGAUCUCACCAGAAAGAUAUCAAAAAAUCUUUAAGUAUUAGGAAGCUGUUGAGCUCAUGCAGAGGAUACACAUAUACCAAAAUUCUAAAUUUUGCUUGAAAACUCAAAUGUUGAGUUACCUAAGUCUGAAUCACCAUAGUUCGUCUCUAAGUCAUUAGAAAAUGAUGUUCCCUGAAAAAAAAAAAAA
This 5273-nucleotide long non-coding RNA is filed under the name Sus scrofa (pig). RNAcentral describes it as "lncRNA (ENSSSCG00000062311.1)". The record is from RNAcentral. Lineage: Eukaryota; Metazoa; Chordata; Mammalia; Artiodactyla; Suidae.